AAUGGGGGAUAACGUAGCGAAAGUUACGCUAAUACCGCAUAUGCCCUGAGGGGGAAAGGUGGGGAUCGCAAGACCUAUCGUUUUCGGAGCGGCCGAUAUCAGAUUAGCUAGUUGGUGGGGUAAAGGCCCACCAAGGCGACGAUCUGUAGCUGGUCUGAGAGGACGACCAGCCACACUGGGACUGAGACACGGCCCAGACUCCUACGGGAGGCAGCAGUGGGGAAUUUUGGACAAUGGGGGCAACCCUGAUCCAGCCAUGCCGCGUGAGUGAAGAAGGCCUUCGGGUUGUAAAGCUCUUUCGGACAGAAAGAAAUCGCCACUUCUAAUAAAGGUGGUGGAUGACGGUACUGUAAGAAGAAGCACCAGCUAACUACGUGCCAGCAGCCGCGGUAAUACGUAGGGUGCGAGCGUUAAUCGGAAUUACUGGGCGUAAAGCGUGCGCAGGCGGUUUUGUAAGACAGACGUGAAAUCCCCGGGCUUAACCUGGGAACUGCGUUUGUGACUGCAAGGCUAGAGUGCGGCAGAGGGGGGUAGAAUUCCA
This 541-nucleotide ribosomal RNA is filed under the name uncultured Gallionellaceae bacterium. Its description in RNAcentral is "bacterial SSU rRNA". It matches the Rfam family "Bacterial small subunit ribosomal RNA", at positions 135 to 671 of the family's 1533-position model. The record is from RNAcentral. Lineage: Bacteria; Pseudomonadati; Pseudomonadota; Betaproteobacteria; Nitrosomonadales; Gallionellaceae.